Molecule: ribosomal RNA, 690 nt
Filed under: uncultured fungus
Lineage: Eukaryota; Fungi
Description: eukaryotic LSU rRNA
Rfam family: 5.8S ribosomal RNA (bases 255-408)
Source: RNAcentral
UCUUGGGUCAUUUAGAGGAAGUAAAAAGUCGUAACAAGGUUCCGUAGGUGAACCUGCGGAAGGAUCAUUAUUGAAUGUAAACGGAGUUGGUUGUAGCUGGCCUCUUCACUGGGGCAUGUGCACGCCUUCUCUGUUCAUCCACACACACCUGUGAACUUGUGAGACGGGUAGCCCCCUCGGGGGCCGUCCGUCUGCUACACAUAAAACUCUUAUAUAUAAAUUUGAAUGUAAUUGAUGUAACGCAUCUAUAAACUAAGUUUCAACAACGGAUCUCUUGGCUCUCGCAUCGAUGAAGAACGCAGCGAAAUGCGAUAAGUAAUGUGAAUUGCAGAAUUCAGUGAAUCAUCGAAUCUUUGAACGCACCUUGCGCUCCUUGGUAUUCCUCGGAGCAUGCCUGUUUGAGUAUCAUGAAACCUUCAAAAUAAAUCUUUUGUUCAUUCGAUUGAUUUUAUUUUGGACUUGGAGGUCUGCAGAUUCACGUCUGCUCCUCUUAAAUUUAUUAGCUGGAUCUCAGUAAGCUCGGUUCCACUCGGCGUGAUAAGUAUCACUCGCUGAGGACACUGUAAAAGGUGGCCGGGGUUGCAGAUGAACUGCUUCUAAUAGUCCAUUCACUUGGACAAUUUAUUUAUGAUCUGAUCUCAAAUCAGGUAGGACUACCCGCUGAACUUAAGCAUAUCAAUAAGCGGAGGA